AUUUACUAAAAAACAAAAUAGUAAAAACUAAAUAUCUGAAAAUAACAAUUAAUAAUCAAAGUUGAUAAUUACCUAACCCAAACACAAAGUUCCAUAAGUUUUAAAACAAAGUUCAUAAUCUAAGAAUAAUCAAACUAAACCUAGUGAAAUGUUUACACCACUGUUUGAGUACAUUUACCACGGGUAUGACCAACCUCACCACAAAUUCCACAUCGCUUUGGCCUACGCUUCCUAGGCAUAGUAAGAUGGUUACUACUAACAUCUUCAUCUUGUGUCAAGGGGACAUCUUCAGUACACCUAGCUCGAUUAUGACCACUUUUAUGACAUGUAGAACAAACUUGAGCAUGUCGAGCAUGUGAUGAAGAUGAUUGAAAGCUAGAUCGGAAAGACUUGUCUUUAUCUCCUUUAUCACCGUGUAUCAUGGUGAUUGCUUGAUUCCUCCCAGCCAAUGCCGUGUGGUAGUCUACAUCAACACCAAAGUCUCUCUUCAAUUGUGCUUGUAUCUCUUUCGGCUUCAAUAUAGAUCCUUCUUUCGACAAAGUCGGUGCAAAGUAUGCACCUACGACCUUUGCACAAAUUGUUGGGCGACAACGAAGCCUCAAAUCCUUUUGGCAAGUAUGAGCAACCAACUUAAAAAUUCUCCAAAUCGCCCCGUAUGCCGUAGCACGCAACAAGAAAGAGCAUUGAUCUUUGAAUCUGCAAAGAGCUCCAAAUCUUCUCUUAGUUGAUCGAUCAACAAUAUAUUCCACCCGAUUCAACAAGUGAUACAAUCCCAAUUGAAUUCUCAUAUUUUCUUUAUCUGUGAAUAUAGCGCCAAUCGAAAUUGUGUCACUGUUGUAAUCAUAAGAUAUUUCUGGUUCAAUAAGAAGGGAUGCAUGAUACUUAGCACCAGGAAUAACCCACUGCCGCGGUCCUUGUCUGUGUUCUUCUUCAUUACAACUAGAACUACCUAUUGGUGGCACAUUAUGAAUAUCUCUCUCAUAACCUCUAUCAACAUGUUUAUUAUUAGCUUCAACAUCAUCAUCUCUUCGAUCUUCAUCACCAACACCUUGCUCGCGAAUGCAAUCAGUCUGAACACCAUCAGCUGAUUCUAAAUCUCUCACAUCCUCCCUCUCAUUCAUAAUGUUCACAUUCGGAGGAUUAAUGGCAGCAUCAUUACCAACAGGAGGCCUCGAAUGUGGAAUAUUACUCAUCUGGUGCACAUACGUAUGUUGAACUUGAUGCAUUUGAGCAUUCAACAAGUUCAUAGAACUGUGCUCUUUAGAAGUAUUUAUCCUAGGAGAAAGUGUGACAUAGAGAGUAGGGACAUCAAAUAAUUCCAUUACAUACACCAAAUCAUCGUCGUCCGUUAUCUUCAUUCUCAAUAAUUCAUCUAACGGGGAUGGCACUAUUGCAUCAAUCACAUAAGCAUGAACAUUUGUAUCAGCUUGCACGGCACACCCAACUUUUCUCAACAAUUCCACAUACUUCAUCCCAUCCGGAGGCACACGAACAAAUUCUCGUUGCCCACCCACAUACGUAAUAUCAUUCCAUUGACCUCCAUGUGUUAAUAUUAUACACUUUGGCCUCAUCUGCACCAAAAAAUCCAUAUCUAUUUAGAACAAUGCACACAACAUCAAGACUGUGGCACGAAUAAGAGAGAGACGUGAUAAAUCAAGACUGUGUUGCGAAGAAGAGAAGACACGCAAGAGGG
This 1693-nucleotide long non-coding RNA is filed under the name Salvia miltiorrhiza (redroot sage). Its description in RNAcentral is "long non-coding RNA (SMIL_LNC006393)". The record is from RNAcentral. Lineage: Eukaryota; Viridiplantae; Streptophyta; Magnoliopsida; Lamiales; Lamiaceae.